GUGAACGCUGGCGGUAGGCCUAACACAUGCAAGUCGAACGGCAGCACAGUAAGAGCUUGCUCUUACGGGUGGCGAGUGGCGGACGGGUGAGGAAUACAUCGGAAUCUACUUUUUCGUGGGGGAUAACGUAGGGAAACUUACGCUAAUACCGCAUACGACCUACGGGUGAAAGCAGGGGAUCUUCGGACCUUGCGCGAUUGCAUGAGCCGAUGUCGGAUUAGCUAGGUGGCGGGGUAAAGGCCCACCAAGGCGACGAUGCGUAGCUGGUCUGAGAGGAUGAUCAGCCACAAUGGAACUGAGACACGGUACAGACUCCUGCGGGAGGCAGAAGUGGGGAAUAUUGGACAAUGGGCGCAAGCCUGAUGCAGCCAUACCGCGUGAGUGAAGAAGGCCUUCUGAUUGUAAAGCUCUUUUGUUAGGAAAGAAAAGAUGUGGAUGAAUAUACGGCUGUUCUGACGGUACCUAAAAAGAAAGCAACGGCUAACUACGUG
This 491-nucleotide ribosomal RNA is filed under the name uncultured bacterium. Its description in RNAcentral is "partial 16S ribosomal RNA". It matches the Rfam family "Bacterial small subunit ribosomal RNA", at positions 29 to 507 of the family's 1533-position model. The record is from RNAcentral.